ACGCACGCUGGCGGCAUGCCUCACACCUGCCAGUCGCACGAGACCUUCGGGUCUAGUGGCGCACGGGUGCGUAACGCGUGGGAACCUGCCCUUAGGUUCGGAAUAACUCCCCGAAAGGGGUGCUAAUACCGGAUAAUGUCUUCGGACCAAAGAUUUAUCGCCUUUGGAUGGGCCCGCGUUGGAUUAGCUAGUUGGUAGGGUAAAAGCCUACCAAGGCGACGAUCCAUAGCUGGUCUGAGAGGAUGAUCAGCCACACUGGGACUGAGACACGGCCCAGACUCCUACGGGAGGCAGCAGUGGGGAAUAUUGGACAAUGGGCGAGAGCCUGAUCCAGCAAUGCCGCGUGAGUGAUGAAGGCCUUAGGGUUGUAAAGCUCUUUUACCCGGGAUGAUAAUGACAGUACCGGGAGAAUAAGCUCCGGCUAACUCCGUG
Molecule: ribosomal RNA, 432 nt
Filed under: uncultured bacterium
Lineage: Bacteria
Description: partial 16S ribosomal RNA
Rfam family: Bacterial small subunit ribosomal RNA
Source: RNAcentral